UGAGGAAUAUUGGUCAAUGGGCGCAAGCCUGAACCAGCCAUGCCGCGUGCAGGAUGACGGUCCUAUGGAUUGUAAACUGCUUUUGUACGGGAAGAAACACUCCGACGUGUCGGAGCUUGACGGUACCGUAAGAAUAAGGAUCGGCUAACUCCGUG
RNAcentral lists this ribosomal RNA (155 nucleotides) under uncultured bacterium. RNAcentral's name for it is "partial 16S ribosomal RNA". It matches the Rfam family "Bacterial small subunit ribosomal RNA", at positions 355 to 507 of the family's 1533-position model. The record is from RNAcentral.